Molecule: ribosomal RNA, 253 nt
Filed under: uncultured bacterium
Lineage: Bacteria
Description: partial 16S ribosomal RNA
Rfam family: Bacterial small subunit ribosomal RNA
Source: RNAcentral
GACGAAGGAUGCAAGCGUUAUCCGGAUUCAUUGGGUUUAAAGGGAGCGUAGGUGGCCUUAUAAGUCAGUGGUGAAAUCUCUGGGCUUAACCCAGAAAUUGCCAUUGAUACUGUAGGGCUUGAGUAUAGUCGCCGUUGGCGGAAUAUGACAUGUAGUGGUGAAAUACAUAGAGAUGUCAUAGAACACCGAUUGCGAAGGCAGCUAACGAAACUAUAACUGACACUGAGGCUCGAAAGUGCGGGGAUCAAACAGG